This 28-nucleotide non-coding RNA is filed under the name Rattus norvegicus (Norway rat). The record is from RNAcentral. Lineage: Eukaryota; Metazoa; Chordata; Mammalia; Rodentia; Muridae.
UAGUUUAGUUGUAUCAUUUGUGAUGGUU